UCCGUNCCAGCAGCCGCGGUAAUACGGAGGGUGCAAGCCGUAAAUCGGAAUUACUGGGCGUAAAGNGCANGCAGGCCGUUNUGUNCAAGUCGGAUGUGAAUCCCCGGGCUUAACCUUGGAACUGCAUUCGAAACUGGCAGGCUAGAGUCUGUAGAGGGGGGUAGAUUCCAGUGUAGCGUGAAAUGCGUAGAGAUCUGANGAAUACCGGUGGCGAAGCGNCCCCUGGACAAAAGACUGANNUCAGUGCGAAAGCGUGGGGAAGCAACAAGAAUAGAUACCUUGGUAGUUCANCNCGNUAAACGAUGUCGACUUGAAGGUGGUUCCCUGAGGAGUGCCUCCGGAAGNUACGGCGUUAGUUNGCCNCCUUGGGNAGUACGGCGGCAAGGUNAAAAUUCAAUGGAUUGGACGGGGGCCGCCCCAAGCGUUGGAGCAGGUGGUUUAUUUGGAUGCACCGNGAGGACCNUUCCUUCUUCUUGCCUUCCGGAGACCUUUCCAGAGAUGGAUGGGUCCUUUGGGGAAUUNUAAGCCAGUUNCUCCAGGGCGGUGUUCAGUUCGGGUUGGGAAAUGUUGGGUUAAUUCCGCCAAGGAGGCCAACCUUUUUCUUUUGUUCCCACCGGUUAGGCCGGGAACUCAAAGGAGACUGCCAGUGAUAAACUGGAGGAAGGUGGGGAUGACGUCAAGUCAUCAUGGCCCUUACGAGUAGGGCUACACACGUGCUACAAUGGCGCAUACAAAGAGAAGCGACCUCGCGAGAGCAAGCGGACCUCAUAAAGUGCGUCGUAGUCCGGAUUGGAGUCUGCAACUCGACUCCAUGAAGUCGGAAUCGCUAGUAAUCGUAGAUCAGAAUGCUACGGUGAAUACGUUCCCGGGCCUUGUACACACCGCCCGUCACACCAUGGGAGUGGGUUGCAAAAGAAGUAGGUAGCUUAACCUUCGGGAGGGCGCUUACCACUUUGUGAUUCAUGACUGGGGUGAAGUCGUAAC
RNAcentral lists this ribosomal RNA (984 nucleotides) under Enterobacter sp. MMB107. RNAcentral's name for it is "partial 16S ribosomal RNA". It matches the Rfam family "Bacterial small subunit ribosomal RNA", at positions 502 to 1492 of the family's 1533-position model. The record is from RNAcentral. Lineage: Bacteria; Pseudomonadati; Pseudomonadota; Gammaproteobacteria; Enterobacterales; Enterobacteriaceae.